UACGAAGGGGGCUAGCGUUGUUCGGAAUUACUGGGCGUAAAGGGCGCGUAGGCGGUUUGACCAGUCAGGUGUGAAAUUCCCGGGCUUAACCUGGGGGCUGCACUUGAUACUGUCAGGCUUGAAUUCGGGAGAGGAUAGCGGAAUUCCCAGUGUAGAGGUGAAAUUCGUAGAUAUUGGGAAGAACACCGGUGGCGAAGGCGGCUAUCUGGACCGACAUUGACGCUGAGGCGCGAAAGCCAGGGGAGCAAACGGG
RNAcentral lists this ribosomal RNA (253 nucleotides) under uncultured bacterium. RNAcentral's name for it is "partial 16S ribosomal RNA". It matches the Rfam family "Bacterial small subunit ribosomal RNA", at positions 524 to 776 of the family's 1533-position model. The record is from RNAcentral.